This 28-nucleotide small RNA is filed under the name Bombyx mori (domestic silkworm). RNAcentral's name for it is "ovarian small RNA-20637". The record is from RNAcentral. Lineage: Eukaryota; Metazoa; Arthropoda; Insecta; Lepidoptera; Bombycidae.
UACCAUUGUCCGAAUAUAUAUGAGUAGC